GGAUCAAUUUAUCGGUCGUGCCAAUGGUAUGAACUGGUACAAUUGGUUUCUCCCUUCUGACGAAGCAUGAUGUCAUUAAUUUGGUGUCGUGGGGAAUCAGGACUGUUACUUUGAAAAAAUUAGAGUGUUUAAAGCAAGCAUUAGCUUGAAUACAUUAGCAUGGAAUAAUGAAAUAGGACGUUUGAUCCUAUUUCGUUGGUUUCUAGGAUCGACGUAAUGAUUAAUAGGGAUAGUUGGGGGCAUUAGUAUUCAAUUGUCAGAGGUGAAAUUCUUGGAUUUAUUGAAGACUAACUACUGCGAAAGCAUUUGCCAAGGAUGUUUUCAUUAAUCAAGAACGAAAGUUAGGGGAUCGAAGACGAUCAGAUACCGUCGUAGUCUUAACCAUAAACUAUGCCGACUAGGGAUCGGAUGAUGUUAAUUUUUUAAUGACUCAUUCGGCGCCUUACGGGAAACCAAAGUGUUUGGGUUCCGGGGGGAGUAUGGUCGCAAGGCUGAAACUUAAAGGAAUUGACGGAAGGGCACCACCAGGGGUGGAGCCUGCGGCUUAAUUUGACUCAACACGGGGAAACUCACCAGGUCCAGACAUAGUAAGGAUUGACAGAUUGAGAGC
Molecule: ribosomal RNA, 610 nt
Filed under: Glomus sp. MS
Lineage: Eukaryota; Fungi; Glomeromycota; Glomeromycetes; Glomerales; Glomeraceae
Description: SSU rRNA
Rfam family: Eukaryotic small subunit ribosomal RNA
Source: RNAcentral